AAGAAAAAAUUAAUUAAAAUUAUAUUAUAAUAAAAUUAAUUUUAAUUUAUUUAAUAAUUUAAUGGGGGUUAAAGUAUUAUUUAAAGAAAAAAUUAAUAAUUUUAUAGUUAAUUAGUAUUGUAAAAGAAUUUUGAAAUAUGUGAAAAUAAAUUUGUUUAAAAGUAAUUUUAAUUUAAUGUAUCUUGUGUAUCAGAGUUUAUUAAAAAUUUUUAAUAAAUAAAUUAAUUUCUCGAAUUUAAAAGAUUUAAAUAAUUAAAAAAUUUAUUGUAGCAAAAAUAUUUUUAAUAAUUAUUUUGAAAUGAAAUGUUAAUCGUUUUUAAAUAUAUCUAGUUUUUUUAGAAAAAAAUUUAAUUUUAAAUUUAUUAAAUAAUAAAUUUCAUUGGUUAAUUUUAUUAAUAAUAAAUUUUAUAUUUUAAGGGAUAAGCUUUAAAUUAAAUUUUUAUAAUAAAAAUUUUAAUUUUGAAAAUUUUAUAAUUUAUAUUGUUAAUAAAUUUUAUUUUAUUAUAAAUAAUUUCAUUUAAAUAAAAAUUUAAUUUUAUAUUUAAUUUUAUAUAAAAAAAAAAAUAAUUUUUAAUAAAAUAAAUUUAGUUAUAAUGAUAAAAUUAGUAUAUAAUUAAAAAUUUAAUUAAUUAAAAAUUAAUUAAAUUUAUUAAAUAUUUUAUUUAUAAUUAAAUUAAUUAAAAGGAAUUCGGCAAAAAAUUAUUUUCACUUGUUUAUCAAAAACAUGUCUUUUUGAGUUUAUUUAAAGUUUAAUCUGCCCCCUGAUUUUAUUAAAGGGCUGCAGUAUUUUGACUGUACAAAGGUAGCAUAAUCAUUAGUCUCUUAAUUGGUGACUUGUAUGAAAGAUUGGAUGAGAAAUAUACUGUCUCUUAAUUAUUAUAUAGAAUUUAAUUUUUUAUUUAAAAAGUUAAAAUAAAUUAAAAAGACGAGAAGACCCUAUAGAGUUUUAUAGUUAUUUAUAUUAAUAGAUUAUUUGUAUAAUAAAAAUUAUUAUAUUAGUAAUUAUUUUGUUGGGGUGAUAAAAAAAUAAAUUUAACUUUUUUUUAUUUUUAACAUAAAUAAGUGAAUAAUUGAUCCAAUUUUAUUGAUUAUAAGAUUAAAUUACCUUAGGGAUAACAGCGUAAUUUUUUUUUUUAGUUCAUAUAAGAAAAAGAGUUUGCGACCUCGAUGUUGGAUUAAGAUAAAAUUUAAAUGCAAAAGUUUAAAAUUUUGAUCUGUUCGAUCAUUAAAAUCUUACAUGAUCUGAGUUCAAACCGGUGUGAGCCAGGUUGGUUUCUAUCUUUUAAAAUAUUUAAUAUUUUAGUACGAAAGGAUCAAAUAUUAUAAUUAAAUUAUUAUUUAUUAAUGAAUUUUAUUAAAUAAAAAUAAAAAUUUUUAUG
This 1379-nucleotide ribosomal RNA is filed under the name Ectropis obliqua. RNAcentral describes it as "16S ribosomal RNA". The record is from RNAcentral. Lineage: Eukaryota; Metazoa; Arthropoda; Insecta; Lepidoptera; Geometridae.